UGUAUAGGACCAAGAUUUUGUAAGUGACUGAAUCAGAUUGAUCAUGGUGCACUCUGUUUUUUUUGUUUUUUUUUGGAGAUGAACAAGAGACUGAAGAAGAAGAAGUCAAAGACUGUUGAGGAAUUUGGUAAAUUGUGUUUGUCUAAGCCAUGGUUUUAUAUGAGGUGAAAGAAAAGAUUACCUAAAAUGCUAAAACCAAGUGCCGGUGCAAGAACUUUACUUGGAAAAGUCAGGCAAAAAGUAGAAAAGAGGAUAAAAAUAGACUAAUGAGGAAAAUCUACAAAGGGGUUAAAAUGGACUAAUGAAGAAAAUCGACUUGACCGUAAUUUGGCCCUCCACUUUCUCUGUCGGUUUCAGACAAAUGUCAUUGCAUCAAAAGGUAUAUGCAGAGGAUGAAGAGUUGAACAAGGCAAAGACUCUUUAGUAUUACCGUGGAAACUGGACGAUGUUGAUGAUGGAAAAGAAGGAGACGAUUUCAUGGUAAAGAACAUUUUCAUACUCUGAAAAUGACUUAUGGAAAUUGUUUAUGUAAAGUUGCUGGAGACAGAUCAAGACUUUUAGGGCGCUCAAGUUUUUACUUUCUACCUUCUCUCUUGAGCUCAUUAGGAAGUAAGCAAACCGGAGUUGCAACCUGGUAGGCGCAAAUUCCACCAGUGGAUUUACAUUCUUUACACGGAUAAUGAAGAUGAGGGUUGCAGAGGUAGUAAGCGGAGAGGGUCUUGUAGUCCGGCAAAAGCUCAAAGAGUUCAGGAGCCAACGUUGCACC
Molecule: long non-coding RNA, 766 nt
Organism: Arabidopsis lyrata subsp. lyrata
Lineage: Eukaryota; Viridiplantae; Streptophyta; Magnoliopsida; Brassicales; Brassicaceae
Exons: 4
Source: RefSeq, a predicted model, not a curated record